Molecule: ribosomal RNA, 468 nt
Filed under: uncultured bacterium
Lineage: Bacteria
Description: partial 16S ribosomal RNA
Rfam family: Bacterial small subunit ribosomal RNA
Source: RNAcentral
GACGAACGCUGGCGGCGUGCUUAACACAUGCAAGUCGAACGGAAAGGCCCUGCUUUCGUGGGGUGCUCGAGCGGCGAACGGGUGAGUAACACGUGAGUAACCUGCCCUUGACUUUGGGAUAACUUCAGGAAACUGGGGCUAAUACCGGAUAGGAGCUCCUGCUGCAUGGUGGGGGUCGGAAAGUUUCGGCGGAUGGGGAUGGAGUCGCGGCUUAUCAGCUGGUUGGUGGGGUAGUGGCUAACCCAGGCAUUGACGGGUAGCCGGCCUGGGAGCGUGGACAGCGACAAUGGGACUGAGAGACGGACCAGUCUCGUACGGGAGGCAGCAGUGGGGAGUAUUACACAAUGGGCGGAAGCCUGAUGCGGCGGCGCCGCGUGCGGAAUGACGGCCUUCGGGUUGUAAACCGCUUUCAGCUGUGACGAAGCGGGAGUGACGGUAAUGAGUAAAGAAGCACCGGCUAACUACGUG